UCUCCUCCGUCUGUUUGGAUCUUGCGCCGCUCGUCAAACAAGAGGAGCCUUGCGGCGACGCAAGCCAGAGCUACGAAAUGCAGCUGGCCAACGGUGGCCACCGCCGGCUGGCAGCAAGAUAAACAACAGCCACAACGACGGCACAACAAACCAACAAUUCUACGAAACGCACAAACAUGCAGCAAUGUCCGAAAUGCCGUUUCUCUCGAGAGGAUGCCGCUGCGUUUUCUCGCCAAGUUAAAGAGGGAAGAGGUCUGGCGGUACGCUGAUUUCAAACACGGACGUGGGAUGUGGAGAAAACAAAGAAUGGGAAGGAGGGCGCACUGGCUGGACUACCACAUCGCCAAAUACGAGGAGGUGGCAACCGCGAGCGUGCCAGUAGGCGAGGUGGACGUUCAGUUGACAAGGG
Petromyzon marinus (sea lamprey) is the source of this 409-nucleotide non-coding RNA. Lineage: Eukaryota; Metazoa; Chordata; Hyperoartia; Petromyzontiformes; Petromyzontidae. The record is from RefSeq and is a predicted model, not a curated record.